Non-coding RNA from Parasteatoda tepidariorum (common house spider), 650 nucleotides. The record is from RefSeq and is a predicted model, not a curated record. NCBI's taxonomy places the organism in Eukaryota, Metazoa, Arthropoda, Arachnida, Araneae, Theridiidae.
AAGUAGAUCCGUUCAAUACGUUUUUUCCAUUUAAGAACGAAAAGAGAGGAAAUUGAAGUGUAUUUAAAGUUUUGAUAAUCCCGAUGCAGUUUACAUCGAUUAAUCAUUAUCAUGUCAUUGCUUCAAAGCAACAAAGAAUUAUUUUAGGCACCAAAAUUUUCAAAGAAUUUUUCAAAUACUUUAAAUUUUAUGACUAUCCCUUCAUUUAAGUUAAAAUUUAUUUUCGUUAUAUAGAACGUCUCACUCUUAAGACAUGGAUAGCAAUGUUGCACGCAAUGGCAGACUUAUUGAUAUUGUUGACAGCACAUGGCGAGAAGAAAAGUUACCUGAUGAACCUAUUGCCGUCCCUGCUUCAGAACUUCCAGAUCCUGAACCUGAUAAUGGAAAUCCACAAGAAACAUUGAGAGAACAAGAACAAAAAUGGACCGAUUUAGCUUUAAAUAAAAUACAUAAAGUUACUCCAACUGUAACAACAUCUUAAAAUAACAUUUUUAUGGUAAAUUUUUGUAUAAUGCAAGAUUUAUUGUAUUGCCUCAUUAACUAUUGUAUAGCCUAGUAAAUUUUUAAUUUGUAUUCAGUCAUUUUAAUUUGAUAUACAUGCAUUUAAAUAUUUCAAUUUUUUCUAUGUUCAAUAAAACAUCCACCAUCCA